GAUGAACGCUAGCGGCAGGCCUAAUACAUGCAAGUCGAGCGGGAUCUGAGGGUAGCUUGCUACCCGAUUUGAGAGUGGCGCACGGGUGCGUAACGCGUGGGCAACCUACCCAUAUCAGGGGGAUAGCCCGGAGAAAUUCGGAUUAAUACCGCAUAAGAAUGUAUUAACACAUGUUAAAGCAUUUAAAUAUUUAUAGGAUAUGGAUGGGCUCGCGUGACAUUAGCUAGUUGGUGAGGUAACGGCUCACCAAGGCGACGAUGUCUAGGGGCUCUGGGAGGAGAGUCCCCCACACUGGUACUGGGACACGGACCAGACUCCUACGGGAGGCAGCAGUAAGGAAUAUUGGUCAAUGGGCGGAAGCCUGAACCAGCCAUGCCGCGUGCAGGACGACUGCCCUAUGGGUUGUAAACUGCUUUUGUCGAGGAAUAAACCUAUCUACGUGUAGCUAGUUGAACGUACUCGAAGAAUAAGGAUCGGCUAACUCCGUGCCAGCCGCCGCGGUAA
Molecule: ribosomal RNA, 504 nt
Filed under: uncultured bacterium
Lineage: Bacteria
Description: partial 16S ribosomal RNA
Rfam family: Bacterial small subunit ribosomal RNA
Source: RNAcentral